GCUCUUCUUCCUUCCUUCUCCAGUCCCUUCCACUGUGCGUCUUCUGUCCCCCGUUCUUCCCCAGCGGACCCCUCUUUCGAGACUCCCUAGUGGGGUCCCCAGCUCCCGGGCGAUCCUGCCCUUGCCGAGCGCGUUUUCUGGAGUCACCUGGGGGAGGGGAGUCCUGGGCAGGGCCGGGCUGGGGAAGACGCCUGGGGCACUGCCCGGCGUUAACAAAGGGAGCCGAUACCGACCGGCGUGGGCGCGGAGCGGGCGGCCGCCACCGAGCGUGCUGAGCAACCGCAGCCUCCGCGGCCGAGAGUGCAGCGACCUCAGCUCCAGCCAGCCUCAGUUCCGGAGGAGCCCCCUCAAAUUCAUGGCCCACAAAGGAGAGAGAAGACCUCCGAUCUCUUGUGCCAUGCUCACUAUGCUAUGUGAAAUUUGCUAUGUUAGACCUUGACAUCCUGGAUGGUGGGGAUGAUGACUGGUUUCUCUGCACAGCCCUGGGCCCAGUAUCCUGCCCAGCCCUUAGGAGUCCUCAUGGAAUGAGCUCAGCUCCCGCGAUGCUCCUGUUUGUCCACUGAGGCAAGGGGAGAGCCAGUUGCGCAGAGCC
This 592-nucleotide long non-coding RNA is filed under the name Homo sapiens (human). RNAcentral's name for it is "non-protein coding lnc-ADIPOQ-3:2". The record is from RNAcentral. Lineage: Eukaryota; Metazoa; Chordata; Mammalia; Primates; Hominidae.